This 468-nucleotide ribosomal RNA is filed under the name uncultured bacterium. RNAcentral's name for it is "partial 16S ribosomal RNA". It matches the Rfam family "Bacterial small subunit ribosomal RNA", at positions 28 to 507 of the family's 1533-position model. The record is from RNAcentral.
GACGAACGCUGGCGGCGUGCUUAACACAUGCAAGUCGAACGGAAGGGCCCUGCUUUUGUGGGGUGCUCGAGUGGCGAACGGGUGAGUAACACGUGAGUAACCUGCCCUUGACUUUGGGAUAACUUCAGGAAACUGGGGCUAAUACCGGAUAGGAGCUCCUGCUGCAUGGUUGGGGUUGGAAAGUUUCGGCGGUUGGGGAUGGACUCGCGGCUUAUCAGCUUGUUGGUGGGGUAGUGGCUUACCAAGGCUUUGACGGGUAGCCGGCCUGAGAGGGUGACCGGCCACAUUGGGACUGAGAUACGGCCCAGACUCCUACGGGAGGCAGCAGUGGGGAAUAUUGCACAAUGGGCGGAAGCCUGAUGCAGCAACGCCGCGUGCGGGAUGACGGCCUUCGGGUUGUAAACCGCUUUCGCCUGUGACGAAGCGUGAGUGACGGUAAUGGGUAAAGAAGCACCGGCUAACUACGUG